This 71-nucleotide transfer RNA is filed under the name Bathyprion danae (fangtooth smooth-head). RNAcentral's name for it is "tRNA-Tyr". It matches the Rfam family "tRNA". Rfam says of the family: Transfer RNA (tRNA) molecules are approximately 80 nucleotides in length. Their secondary structure includes four short double-helical elements and three loops (D, anti-codon, and T loops). Lineage: Eukaryota; Metazoa; Chordata; Actinopteri; Alepocephaliformes; Alepocephalidae. The record is from RNAcentral.
GGUAGGGUGGCCGAGAGUUCAGGCGGUGGGUUGUAGCCCCGAAGACAGAGGUUGGACCCCUCUCCCUAUCA